RNAcentral lists this ribosomal RNA (465 nucleotides) under uncultured Klebsiella sp. Its description in RNAcentral is "bacterial SSU rRNA". It matches the Rfam family "Bacterial small subunit ribosomal RNA", at positions 338 to 795 of the family's 1533-position model. Lineage: Bacteria; Pseudomonadati; Pseudomonadota; Gammaproteobacteria; Enterobacterales; Enterobacteriaceae. The record is from RNAcentral.
CCUACGGGUGGCAGCAGUGGGGAAUAUUGCACAAUGGGCGCAAGCCUGAUGCAGCCAUGCCGCGUGUGUGAAGAAGGCCUUCGGGUUGUAAAGCACUUUCAGCGGGGAGGAAGGCGUUAAGGUUAAUAACCUUGGCGAUUGACGUUACCCGCAGAAGAAGCACCGGCUAACUCCGUGCCAGCAGCCGCGGUAAUACGGAGGGUGCAAGCGUUAAUCGGAAUUACUGGGCGUAAAGCGCACGCAGGCGGUCUGUCAAGUCGGAUGUGAAAUCCCCGGGCUCAACCUGGGAACUGCAUUCGAAACUGGCAGGCGAGAGGCUUGGAGAGGGGGGUAGAAUUCCAGGUGUAGCGGUGAAAUGCGUAGAGAUCUGGAGGAAUACCGGUGGCGAAGGCGGCCCCCUGGACAGAGACUGACGCUCAGGUGCGAAAGCGUGGGGAGCAAACAGGAUUAGAUACCCCAGUAGUC